GAUGAACGCUGGCGGCGUGCCUAAUACAUGCAAGUCGAGCGAACAGACGAGGAGCUUGCUCCUCUGACGUUAGCGGCGGACGGGUGAGUAACACGUGGAUAACGUACCUAUAAGACUGGGAUAACUUCGGGAAACCGGAGCUAAUACCGGAUAAUAUAUUGAACCGCAUGGUUCAAUAGUGAAAGACGGUUUUGCUGUCACUUAUAGAUGGAUCCGCGCCGCAUUAGCUAGUUGGUAAGGUAACGGCUUACCAAGGCAACGAUGCGUAGCCGACCUGAGAGGGUGAUCGGCCACACUGGAACUGAGACACGGUCCAGACUCCUACGGGAGGCAGCAGUAGGGAAUCUUCCACAAUGGGCGAAAGCUUGACGGAGCAACGCCGCGUGAGUGAUGAAGGUCUUCGGAUCGUAAAACUCUGUUAUUAGGGAAGAACAAAUGUGUAAGUAACUAUGCACGUCUUGACGGUACCUAAUCAGAAAGCCACGGCUAACUACGUG
RNAcentral lists this ribosomal RNA (497 nucleotides) under uncultured bacterium. RNAcentral's name for it is "partial 16S ribosomal RNA". It matches the Rfam family "Bacterial small subunit ribosomal RNA", at positions 28 to 507 of the family's 1533-position model. The record is from RNAcentral.